GACGAACGCUGGCGGCGCGCCUAACACAUGCAAGUCGAACGAGAGAUGAGGAGCUUGCUCUUCAAAUCGAGUGGCGAACGGGUGAGUAACGCGUGAGGAACCUGCCUCAAAGAGGGGGACAACAGUUGGAAACGACUGCUAAUACCGCAUAAGCCCACGGCUCGGCAUCGAGCAGAGGGAAAAGGAGCAAUCCGCUUUGAGAUGGCCUCGCGUCCGAUUAGCUAGUUGGUGAGGUAAUGGCCCACCAAGGCGGCGAUCGGUAGCCGGACUGAGAGGUUGAACGGCCACAUUGGGACUGAGACACGGCCCAGACUCCUACGGGAGGCAGCAGUGGGGAAUAUUGCACAAUGGGGGAAACCCUGAUGCAGCGACGCCGCGUGGAGGAAGAAGGUCUUCGGAUUGUAAACUCCUGUUGUUGAGGAAGAUAAUGACGGUACUCAACAAGGAAGUGACGGCUAACUACGUGCCAGCAGCCGCGGUAAAACGUAGGUCACAAGCGUUGUCCGGAAUUACUGGGUGUAAAGGGAGCGCAGGCGGGAGAACAAGUUGGAAGUGAAAUCCAUGGGCUCAACCCAUGAACUGCUUUCAAAACUGUUUUUCUUGAGUAGUGCAGAGGUAGGCGGAAUUCCCGGUGUAGCGGUGGAAUGCGUAGAUAUCGGGAGGAACACCAGUGGCGAAGGCGGCCUACUGGGCACCAACUGACGCUGAGGCUCGAAAGUGUGGGUAGCAAACAGGAUUAGAUACCCUGGUAGUCCACACCGUAAACGAUGAUUACUAGGUGUUGGAGGAUUGACCCCUUCAGUGCCGCAGUUAACACAAUAAGUAAUCCACCUGGGGAGUACGACCGCAAGGUUGAAACUCAAAGGAAUUGACGGGGGCCCGCACAAGCAGUGGAGUAUGUGGUUUAAUUCGACGCAACGCGAAGAACCUUACCAAGUCUUGACAUCCCUUGACGAACAUAGAAAUAUGUUUUCUCUUCGGAGCAAGGAGACAGGUGGUGCAUGGUUGUCGUCAGCUCGUGUCGUGAGAUGUUGGGUUAAGUCCCGCAACGAGCGCAACCCUUAUGGUCAGUUACUACGUAAGAGGACUCUGGCCAGACUGCCGUUGACAAAACGGAGGAAGGUGGGGAUGACGUCAAAUCAUCAUGCCCUUUAUGACUUGGGCUACACACGUACUACAAUGGCGUUAAACAAAGAGAAGCAAGACCGCGAGGUGGAGCAAAACUCAGAAACAACGUCCCAGUUCGGACUGCAGGCUGCAACUCGCCUGCACGAAGUCGGAAUUGCUAGUAAUCGUGGAUCAGCAUGCCACGGUGAAUACGUUCCCGGGCCUU
Molecule: ribosomal RNA, 1333 nt
Filed under: uncultured bacterium
Lineage: Bacteria
Description: bacterial SSU rRNA
Rfam family: Bacterial small subunit ribosomal RNA
Source: RNAcentral